RNAcentral lists this long non-coding RNA (586 nucleotides) under Triticum aestivum (bread wheat). RNAcentral describes it as "long non-coding RNA (TAES_LNC006165)". Lineage: Eukaryota; Viridiplantae; Streptophyta; Magnoliopsida; Poales; Poaceae. The record is from RNAcentral.
GCGAUGGGGAGAAAGGUACACCUAUCGGUUACAUCUUAGAGACGCUUAAAAUAGAGGAGCCUAUGGCGAGGUAAAAUAGUUAUAUAUUUACUUUUUUCUAAUUGACAAUUUACUUGUUUUGAAACGAAUAAAAUUUAUUAAUUCUGUGAUCUUACGUUGCAGGGAGGCCUUGGCCAUAUUAAUUGAGAUUGGAGAAAUUUAUACAACGGUGGACAAGGACCAUUUCAAGGCGAUUUGAGAAAAGAAUUAACUUUCUUUGGGGUGAAGCAUGUGAGCUGCCCUUAAUGUAGUAGUAUUCGCAAUGGGUGCUAGCUAGUACUGUUGUCGUCUUUUGAUCAUGCUUCCCAAUAUUGUUUUCUGAAACUUCCACGAAGCAUUCGAUCGAUCUCCUUAAUAAUUUAAGGUUAGGAUUAUUGUAGUUUGUUUAAGAACGCCAGGACUGUUGCAUUAUUGAUCCAUCUGUGACGAUCCCUGAAUUACCAAUGUUUUAAAUUACCCUGGUAUUUUCAUUAUUCAAAAUUGCUUCCAUUAUGCUGUUUUUUUAUUGCUUCUUUACUGAACAAUAAUUGUGCAUUUCAUGUGAUUA